GUGUGUGUGUGUGUGUGUGUGUGUGUGUGUGUGUGUUGAAUUUAUUUAAACUACAUUGAAAGACACACAGUUAAAUAAACAGUCUCUCCCAGUUCAUCUUUUUCUUCCACUAACUCAUUUCAGGUUUCCAGCAUGUGGUUUAUUUAACUUUCAUGCCUCAUCUUUCCUGAGCUUCCUAAAGAAGACUGACAGACAGAAUGAGUUUGUGUGUGUGUGUGUGUGUGUGUGUGUGUGUGUGUGUGUGUGUGUGUAACUUUGAGUGGUCAAAACUUUGACCAUAGGUAAAGCCAUGUUAGGAAGUUUUGGAUUUAUUUGUAGGUUUAUGUGCUUUUGGUGUUAAACAGUAUUCAUUAUGGGCUGAAGUCUUUUUACCCAGAAUCCCACACACACCCUUCUGGUUUCAAGGUCUUGAUACACAGUAUUACACAAGGGUGGAUAAAUCAUUAGCCCAGACGCCUGGGAAAAGCAGAUUACACAUCUGGGUGGUCAGUUUUUUUAUUUUUUUUAUUUUUUCCCCCUUGCUCGGUGGCUAGGUGACUCAGUAGACUGAUGGUCUCCAGGAUUUUAUUAUUUUUUUCUUUCAGAGAAGUUUACCAGUCUCUCUAGCAGGCCAUUUGAUACCCUUUUGAAAGCAACACACUCAAACAGAUGAAUGAACUGGUGUCAUGAUUAACAUGUAAACGUCAGAAAGAUGUCGAUCCUGCUUGUUGUUGAUGAAUGACAAUGGGGAAGUUUUACAACGCGAAUACGUAGUCACGUCGCUGGGAAUUGACUCAUCAGUGGCCCGGUGUGCAGUGAGCCAGGACUUUACCAGUGCCCCAACUCGUGUACGCGAUAUACUGAUUCACCACCUAGGGAGUGAGGGAGCUGAUUGAGACACAGCUUUAAUCUUGCUAGCUUUACACCUGACCAUGCGCGUCUGCCCGCAUGAAAACACAAAACCCCGGGAUCCCAGUCCUGAUACAUAUCUGUAUCUGAAUACAGAGACUGUAGAUACUUGGAGUCAAAACCCCAGCGCCUGCUGCACAACAAACACCAACUGGGAAUUAGUCAGGUCAGUUAUAUUAAUACCAGUCUAUAUUACUGACUUUACGAACUAGCGAACUUGCUUAUUAUGCCUGGAGUAAGUUAAUGUAGCUACCAUUUUUAGCCUAGUUUAUGUCGCUAGUCUUUUAUUUUGUGAUAAUAGCAGCACAUAGCAGUGUAUUAUAACACAUAGCAGUUGUUCAUAACAGUGAUAAUAGCAGCACAUAGCAGUGUAUUAUAACAGUGAUAAUAGCAGCACAUAGCAGUGUAUCAUAACAGUGAUAAUAGCAGCACAUAGCAGUGUAUUAUAACAGUGAUAAUAGCAGCACACAGCAGUGUAUUAUAACAGUGAUAAUAGCAGCACAUAGCAGUGUAUUAUAACAGUGAUAAUAGCAGCACAUAGCAGUGUAUUAUAACACAUAGCAGUGUAUUAUAACAUGAUAAUAGCAGCACAUAGCAGUGUAUUAUAACACAUAGCAGUGUAUUAUAACAGUGAUAAUAGCAGCACAUAGCAGUGUAUCAUAACAGUGAUAAUAGCAGCACAUAGCAGUGUAUUAUAACACAUAGCAGUGUAUUAUAACAGUGAUAAUAGCAGCACAUAGCAGUGUAUUAUAACAGUGAUAAUAGCAGCACACAGCAGUGUAUUAUAACAGUGAUAAUAGCAGCACAUACAAAAACAGGACUCGCCUAUCAUAUGUUCUUUGUGAAGUUCAUUGAAAUAGAUAAGUUUUAUACUUCGCUGAGUUUUGUUUGAAGAUCUUGUUGGACUAUUGGAAGAGCAUCAGUCAGUAGAUUAUGUUGGAAGUUUUCAUGUGUAAUCGGCGCUUCUUCUGAGUCAGAGGUUCCGCAGAGCUUCUGCUGUACUGUAAGCGCUAGUGUGCAUGUUGAAGGGUUGUGCUGAUUGAAGAUAGAUUUUCCACUCCAUUUCAGUGUUUUACUGAGACUGCACAUUUCAUCACAUGCGUUUCUGUAUGCCGUAAGGGCCUCUUUAUCACUUCUAUGAGCACUGAAGUGCAGUCAAGGUCAGGACGUUUCAGCGAGGUUGCUCUAAAUGAAGCCGAAAGAGUUGCAACCAGUUUCCUAAUGCUCGUCCUCUAUUUUCCCCCUCAUGUAGUGCUCAGUUUGUGUCUGACUGAGAGAGAGAGAGAGAGAGAGACAGAGUUUUAUACGAUCGAUUGUAAAUAGUGUUGCUGUGUCCCGGCCACGUUGCCAUGGCUCUUAAUUAGAUUACUGAAUACGAGCUUCUUGGUGACGGUUUGAGCAAAAGCAAGUCGAUACAUUAACACAGCCUGCCAUGUCCCAUCACACCGUCCUUUACUAACGCACGCCCCGGCUGAGCAGAGGCCAGAGAGAUGGACCCUGAAAUCAGCACGACAGAAUGAAGAGGAGAGAGAGACAGAGGGUGGGAGAGAGAGGGAGAGAUAGAGAGAGGGAGGGAGAGAGAGAGAGAGA
This is a long non-coding RNA of Ictalurus punctatus (channel catfish), 2478 nucleotides long. Lineage: Eukaryota; Metazoa; Chordata; Actinopteri; Siluriformes; Ictaluridae. The record is from Ensembl.